UAUUUAGUAUCUCGUUUUAGGUUUUAUCCAUAGAUUAUCCAUCGGGUGAUGGUAAUAAAACAGGAUUCGAGUUGGACUAUCUGUUGACGUGCUGGUUUUAUCCAUACAUUGUCCAUCGAGUGAUGGUAAUAAAACAGGAUUCGAGAUGGACUAUCUGUUGACGUGCUGGUUUUAUCCAUAGAUUGUCCAUCGGGUGAUGGUAAUAAAACAGGAUUCGAGUUGGACUAUCUGUUGACGUGCUGGUUUUAUCCAUAGAUUAUCCAUCGAGUGAUGGUAAUAAAACAGGAUUCGAGUUGGACUAUCUGUUGACGUGCUGGUUUUAUCCAUAGAUUGUCCAUCGGGUGAUGGUAAUAAAACAGGAUUCGAGUUGGACUAUCUGUUGACGUGCUGGUUUUAUCCAUAGAUUGUCCAUCGGGUGAUGGUGAUAAAACAGGAUUCGAGUUGGACUAUCUGUUGUCGUGCUGGUAGGUUUUUAUUUAAUAGUUUUAUUUAGUAUCUCGGUAUAGGUUUUAUCGAGUGAUGGUAAUAAAACAGUGGUAAUAAACAGUGAUGUGAUGUAGUGUGAUUUGAGAAAUAAAAUAAA
Molecule: long non-coding RNA, 583 nt
Organism: Anopheles coustani
Lineage: Eukaryota; Metazoa; Arthropoda; Insecta; Diptera; Culicidae
Exons: 6
Source: RefSeq, a predicted model, not a curated record